Molecule: ribosomal RNA, 418 nt
Filed under: uncultured bacterium
Lineage: Bacteria
Description: partial 16S ribosomal RNA
Rfam family: Bacterial small subunit ribosomal RNA
Source: RNAcentral
AAUAUUGGAUUAUGGGUGAAAGCCUGAUCCAGCCAUCCCGCGUGAAGGACGACGGUCAUAUGGAUAGUAAACCUCCUUUGUACAGGAAUAAAGCUACUCUCGUGAGAGCAGCGGAAGGUACUGGACGAUUAAGCACCGGCUACCUCCGUGCCUGCAGCCGCGGUAAUACGGAGGGUGCAAGCGUUAUCCGGAUUUAUUGGGUUUAAAGGGUCCGUAGGCGGACCCGUAAGUCAGUGGUGAAAUCUCAUAGCUUAACUAUGAAACUGCCAUUGAUACUGCGGGUCUUGAGUAAAUGUGAAGUGGCUGGAAUAAGUAGUGUAGCGGUGAAAUGCAUAGAUAUUACUUAGAACACCAAUUGCGAAGGCAGGUCACUAAGAUUUAACUGACGCUGAUGGACGAAAGCGUGGGUAGCGAACAG